GGGGGGGGCGGGGGGGGGGGCGGAGGGAUGGAAGGCGGGCGGGGGCGCAGGAGGAGCUGGGUAUUACGGGUGGCGGGGGGGGGACGGGUGGGGAAGACAUCGGGAUCUACUUGUUCGUGGGGGAUAGCGUAGGCAAACUUACGCUAAUACCUCAUAAUACCUACGGUUGAAAUCAUGGGAUCUUCGGCCCUGUCUCGAUUGACUGAGCCGAUGUCGGAUUCGCUAGUUGGCUUGGUAACGGCCCACCAAGGCGACGAUCCGUAGCUGGUCUGAGAGGAUGAUCAGCCACACUGGAACUGAGACACGGUCCAGACUCCUACGGGAGGCAGCAGUGGGGAAUAUUGGACACUGGGCGAAAGCCUGAUCCAGCCAUACCGCGUGAGUGAAGAAGGCCUUCGGGUCGUAAAGCCCUUUUGUUGGGAAAGAAAAGAAGCAGGUUAAUACCCCGAUGUUCUGACGGUACCCAAAGAAUAAGCACCGGCUAACUUCGUG
This 492-nucleotide ribosomal RNA is filed under the name uncultured bacterium. RNAcentral's name for it is "partial 16S ribosomal RNA". It matches the Rfam family "Bacterial small subunit ribosomal RNA", at positions 38 to 507 of the family's 1533-position model. The record is from RNAcentral.